CCUACGGGUGGCAGCAGUGGGGAAUAUUGGACAAUGGGCGAAACCUGAUCCAGCCAUGCCGCGUGUGUGAAGAGGUCUUCGGAUUGUAAGCACUUUAAGUUGGGAGGCGUUACCGACAGAAUAAGCACCGGCUAACUCUGUGCCAGCAGCCGCGGUAAUACAGAGGGUGCAAGCGUUAAUCGGAAUUACUGGGCGUAAAGCGCGCGUAGGUGGUUUGUUAAGUUGAAUGUGAAAUCCCCGGGCUCAACCUGGGAACUGCAUCCAAAACUGGCAAGCUAGAGUAUGGUAGAGGGUGGUGGAAUUUCCUGUGUAGCGGUGAAAUGCGUAGAUAUAGGAAGGAACACCAGUGGCGAAGGCGACCACCAGGACUGAACUGACACUGAGGUGCGAAAGCGUGGGGAGCAAACAGGAUUAGAUACCCUUGUAGUC
This 429-nucleotide ribosomal RNA is filed under the name uncultured bacterium. Its description in RNAcentral is "partial 16S ribosomal RNA". It matches the Rfam family "Bacterial small subunit ribosomal RNA", at positions 338 to 795 of the family's 1533-position model. The record is from RNAcentral.